CUGUGUUUUCAUUUCCUAGGGACUCUUCCAAGGUGUGCUCACCAAAGACAUCCCCUCAGAGAUAUCUGGGGAGCCAGCUACAGAAGGAAAGGUGGUCCCUUGGGGCUGGUGGGCUGAUGUGGUUGAUGCAGGUGAGGGCUGGCAGUGAUGUCAGUGAGCUGUGAAGGACAGGGGUAGAGAAGGGGUCCUGCUGCUGGCUUCCUGUAACUGCAGGUGGUGGUGGUGGUGCAGUCCCCAGCUCUGCUGAUCCCGCAGUUGUGCUGGCACAAUUUGGAUCCGUGACCCCAGCAUGGCUUCAGUUUUUGCUGCUCUCCUUCCAGAAUCAGCUGAGCUGCCCUGAAUGAUGGGGCUGCACAGGGACCAGAUAUAGACACUUGGAAUGUAUGGAUCAUGGAGCCCACACAGACUGUAUGGAGAUUGUACGGACUGCAUAGACCAUAUGGAGACCACAAGGAUACCCCAUUGAGACCACAUGACUGCAGAUCACUGUAUGGAGACCACAGAGACCAGGUGAAGAUUCAUGCUCCCCCCCAAGCUCUUCAUCUCCAUGAGCCUCAGAGCUGUGGUGGGACUGGGGGCAGCUGUGAGCAUCUGCUGCAUGUGCCUGUGCUGGGACAUGAUGUUCCUCCUCUACAAGGAUGGAGAUGGGGCCCUGCACAGGGCCAGGACCUAUGGAGGAUGCAGCUGAGUUCUCCUUCACCCAGGUCAGCAAGACAGACAAUGGGCCUGUAGUGAUCCUAACCAGAAGACCAUUGUACAUCGAGGAGAUAGAGAGCCACGUAACAAUUAACCUGAGCAGGCACAGGCCUGUGUUGUGCUGCGCAUGUCCUGCUUGGCCGCAGGAUAAACUUAGCGGGCUAAUUAUAACGAAGGAGCCUGUAGGCAGCUCCCACCUGGCACUGGGAAUUACA
This is a long non-coding RNA of Struthio camelus australis, 911 nucleotides long. RefSeq lists it as uncharacterized. The record is from RefSeq and is a predicted model, not a curated record. Lineage: Eukaryota; Metazoa; Chordata; Aves; Struthioniformes; Struthionidae.